AGCAUUGCCCAGUGGCAGUAUCAUAGCCAAUAAGAUUUAUAUAAGUCACCAUUAUUGCUAAUUGAAAACUUUGCCCAAUACCCCCCCCCAUGAUAAUUUGCAGUACUGUUAGCAUUGGAUUUUAUAUAUAUAUAUGUAUA
This is a non-coding RNA of Otolemur garnettii (small-eared galago), 140 nucleotides long. Lineage: Eukaryota; Metazoa; Chordata; Mammalia; Primates; Galagidae. The record is from Rfam.